Molecule: microRNA precursor, 137 nt
Filed under: Tupaia belangeri (northern tree shrew)
Lineage: Eukaryota; Metazoa; Chordata; Mammalia; Scandentia; Tupaiidae
Description: miRNA (ENSTBEG00000019716.1)
Source: RNAcentral
GGGAGAGGAGAGGAGAGGAGUGGAGUGGAGUGGAGAGGAGAGGAGAGGAGGGCAAGCUGCCAGAUUGGGAACUCGAACUGUGGUUGACCUUGUGGAAGUCCACUUUAACCACCACACCACCUGCUGGCCCCAAGACU